UUUUUUUUUCCCCCGUUUUUUAAAAGCUCUGCCGCUGUCUGAGCGCGCCCUGGGUUUUCCAGCAUUUAUUUGGAGCAUUUGAUUCUAAUUAUCCGCGGAAUCCAGCCUUCUAAUUGCGACUUGGGAAAAAAAAAAAAAAAGCAACUCCCCAAAUUCCAGUUUUAUCCGUUGCUUCCCCCCUCAGCCCCCCUGCCCCCCCGGAAAAAGGGGGUCAAGUACAAGAUUUACAGGGGAAAAAAAAUAAAUUAGAAAUUGCGCGAGUGCUUCAAGCAUUCCAGGAUUUAAAAAGUAACAGGAACGCGGUGGUUUUGAGAGCAUUUUGUUUAAUUACUGCGAUGUAUAAUCACAUUGAAAUAAAGCGUACACAUUGAAUUUAAAUGUAACCCUGUUUAAAUGUGGCUGAAUGUCCAUAUGCUUUCUCUGUGAAAAUGAAUAUAUUCUGUUAAAGUGCAAAGCAGGAUUUUAUUUUAUUUAAAAAGUCUCUUAUUUCCUUCCUAGUAAUUUCUCAGAAUUUCAGCUUUCAGUUUGCAAAGUCACAAAGUGACUUUGGGCGAAGCUUUUUUAAAUGUAAUUUUACAACGUGUCUUUUAAAAAAAAUAUUCUUGUUUUUAAGGCUCAAGGCAUGCUAUAUGUGCUGAAGUUACAAGUGAGGAAUAAUUGAACUUUUCUUCCAGGGCCCAAUCCAAAGCUUAGUGAGAUUGUGGAAGAGUUUCUGUUUCCUUGGGUUUUGGACCGGUGGCUUUGCAGUGCAGUUGGACACUCGGCAGGACUAUUUUUUUUUUUUCCCUCAUCUGACAAAUAAUUAAUGUACAUUUCUAUAAUGCCUGUCUCUUUCAGUUCUCGUAGCUCUUUGAGAAGUUUACCUCACCGAAAUUCUGUGAGUCAGGUAAAUUGUAUUUCAUCCGUUUUUGAGGUGGCUGAGUCAACGCAAUCAUCACUAUUUUUAGUCCAGCUUUUCAAAGACAGCCUCUCCGCAUGAGGAGUCCCUUCCUUGGAAGAUCUGAACCUUGUUGCGUGGCUGAGGCUGGGCAGGGAUUUGUGGGACACUGAGAGCUUUUGGGGCAAGCCCAAGGAGGUAGGAAAACAAGAUGCCCCCUAUUUUCUGAUCCCCGCCUUCAACUCCAAAUCAAAUUCCUGGAAAAGAAGCCCUCAAGGACAGCAGGAGUUAGAGACGUUGGGUUUCUUCUCCCUUGCGUGUUGCUGCCUUUCACAGCUCCCCACUCUACCCAAGGCAGGGAAUUGCGUUUCUCAGCCCACACACUUGAAUCCCUCUUUGUCCAACGCAGGUAGAAGGAGGAGGACAACUUUUGGUAGUUGCUUCCUCUUACUCCAGAGAAGGGCAGGGGGAAGAGGUAGUGCCUGGAGCCCAGAGCAGGGUACGUGUUCUGCUUCACAUCUGCCUUUGUGAUCUUGCACAAACCAUUUCAAACCGUCUCUGAGCGUCAGUUCUCAGCCGAGCUGGCGGAGGGAGCGGCGUUUCCCUGCCUGGCACACCAACCUGAGCUGGGCAAGGGUGCAAGAAGCUGAGAUGACACAGGAAGAGGAGGGAGCUGGAGCACCUGGGAAACUUCAGUAGCUCCGGUUUCCUGAGAAGUUCACUCAUCCAUGAAAUGAAAUGAGAUUACGCUGGGACAGCAAGUGGGUUCAAGUGGCGUCAUUUGUCUUACCGGGGUCUCAUGUUCAAAUUUUGUAUGACAAAGUACCAGCGAUGUUUGCACAGGGAUGGGCAAAUGAUGGAGCUGCCGGGCAGGUCUUGCAGUGAUCUCACAUGAUGUGUCAUUUAGACCUGCCUUAAUGCUUCUCUCUCUUCACCCAGCCUGCUGCAGGGCGGGCCCUGACAUCAGGAUUUCCAGGAAAAGGUUGCAGAUCUGGAGGGAAGAACCAAGAUUCCCAUUGCCCAAUGGAGCCUUAAAGAAUAUACCCAAGCUGGUCUGACAAGGUCUUCAAUAAAGUUCCUGGGCAGCUCACACCAGUGUUGUUUGGGAUCAGACACUAAAUACAAGGUCUGCAUGUUUGGCUCCAUCACAUUUUCACUCGUCACCUGGGAACACUCAGAAUCCCCAUGGGAUGGAGGUGGCUUGACCUCCAUCCUGGUUCCUCUCUGCUAUACCUAUUCGUUAUGCAGGAAUAAGUGUAUGUGUGUGUUUGUGUUGCCUUCAGAGCAGUCAGAGCCCCACUAACGUCAGGGGGGAGAAAUGCCAUCUUCAGUAGAAGACAGGGAAGGUAUUUUCAGAGCAUGAGAGCACGUUGGGAACCACUGCAGAGGAUGGGAUAUGCUCUGCAACGCGCACACGUACUGCGCUCCCUCCCUGGCUGGGUGCUGGCCCAGCCCAAAGGAAUAGUUUGGCAGCUGCAGGGUGAACAACGGAGGAACAUGUCCCCCAGCAGCUCCCUUCCAACCCAUGAACAUUUACCUGGCGCUGAUACAAGAAACUCACCUGCACUGGGCAGGACUCCACUGACCUCUCUCUUGCUUGAAAUGCAAGUGGAGAGGAAUGCACGGGAUUCCAAACCCUUUUCUAGGUUUCACUGUGGCAGCAGAUAUCAGAGAAAAAAAAGGACAUUUAUUUUUAGGAAGUCUUGACUUCAGGGUGAGUCAAAGGCAGUGAGGGCUUCAUGAAAAUCUUCACGUUACAUUGCGCCUGGCGUGCAAUUUCUGCUAAAAUAAAAUAAUAUAGCCUUUACUAACAAGAGCUUUUAUCAUUAUUAAUUCUUUAAUAUCCCAGUGGAAAAAAAGUUAACUAGUGGCUUGUUCUGUGUUUUUAUCUUGCAGUUUUCCCAGCCUGAAGUUGCCCACUGUGGUGCCAGCAGCCAAGGACUCGGAGGGGAAACAAUUAGAAACCCAAAAGGGACAGCUUUCUCUGUCGGUCUCAGAAAAUAUGCGUGUGUAAAGACCAAAUCCAGUGGGAAGGGAAAGAUAUGUCAAUGUGUUAUUUCUGUUCAAAUAUUCCAGGAUAUCAGCAACAAAACAAAAUUUGCUUUUGCGGGGCCAACACCACACAGGUGUGUGUUAUGCAUUAAAGGCCAGGCGAGACACUGGCAAAAGAUCUCUUUCUUCCUGCACAGCACAGGCAGGACGGCGGCUUUUCAAAAUAAUGAAGAACCACAAUUCUAUUCAUUAUAAUUAUUGCGGUAAUUGUUUGUCCUAUGGUACCACUUAAGAACCCCUCUUCUGAACCCCGUCCUUAUAGAAGCUGUACAAAUACAGGAGGAAAUAAAGGUAAUUCUUCCUCUGAAAA
Molecule: long non-coding RNA, 3239 nt
Organism: Calidris pugnax (ruff)
Lineage: Eukaryota; Metazoa; Chordata; Aves; Charadriiformes; Scolopacidae
Exons: 3
Source: RefSeq, a predicted model, not a curated record